RNAcentral lists this ribosomal RNA (450 nucleotides) under uncultured bacterium. RNAcentral describes it as "partial 16S ribosomal RNA". It matches the Rfam family "Bacterial small subunit ribosomal RNA", at positions 354 to 796 of the family's 1533-position model. The record is from RNAcentral.
GUAGGGAAUCUUCCACAAUGGACGAAAGUCUGAUGGAGCAACGCCGCGUGAGUGAAGAAGGUCUUCGGAUCGUAAAACUCUGUUGUUAGAGAAGAACGUGCAUGAUAGUAACUGAUCAUGUAAUGACGGUAUCUAACCAGAAAGCCACGGCUAACUACGUGCCAGCAGCCGCGGUAAUACGUAGGUGGCAAGCGUUGUCCGGAUUUAUUGGGCGUAAAGGGAACGCAGGCGGUUUUUUAAGUCUGAUGUGAAAGCCUUCGGCUUAACCGAAGAAUAGCAUUGGAAACUGGAAGACUUGAGUGCAGAAGAGGAGAGUGGAAUUCCAUGUGUAGCGGUGAAAUGCGUAGAGAUUUGGAAGAACACCAGUGGCGAAGGCGACUUUCUGGACGAUGUCUGACGCUGAGGCGCGAAAGCUAGGGGAGCGAACGGGAUUAGAAACCCUGGUAGUCC